UUUCCCGUUUAUCCUGCGGGAGGUUGCUGCUAUCAGAAUCCGGCUAAGACAUGCAAGUCGAGGGGCCUUCGGGUCACUGGCAGACUGCUCAGCAUCACGUCGAUAAUCUGCCCUUAGGUCAGGGAUAACCUUGGGAAACUGAGGCUAACACCUGGCAGGGAAAAGAUACUGGAAUGUUCUUUUCCUGAAAACUUCGGUGCCUAAGGAUGAGUCGGCGGCCCAUCAGGUUGUUGGCGGUGUAAUGGACCACCAAGCCUAAGACGGGUAGGGGCCAUGAGAGUGGUUGCCCCGAGAAGGACACUGAGAUACUGGUCCUAGCCCUACGGGGUGCAGCAGUUACGAAACCUUUACAAUGCACGCAAGUGUGAUAAGGGGAUUCUGAGUGCUCAUGUAUUGCAUGGGCUUUUGCCAAGAGUAAAAAUCUUGGCGAAUAAGUGGUGGGCAAGACUGGUGCCAGCCGCCGCGGUAACCCCAGCGCCACAAGUGGGAACCACGUUUAUUGGGUCUAAAGCAUCCGUAGCCGGUCAAGUAAAUUCUCUGUGAAAUCGUCGGGCCUAACCCGACGGCGUGCAGGGAACACUGCUUGACUUGAGACCAGGAGAGGUAAGAAGUAUUCCAGGGGGAGCGGUAAAAUGUUAUAAUCCCUGGAGGACUACCGAUGGCGAAGGCAUUUUACCAGAAUGGAUCUGACGGUGAGGGAUGAAAGCCAGGGGAGCGAUCCGGAUUAGAUAUUGAAGACUUCGUUUUCAAAUUUAGUUUCGAAACACGUGAUCGUAAAAAAUAUACUGCGUGAAUCGAGAUAAUUAUCGAAGUUUCUCAACUAAAUACCCGAGUAGUCCUGGCUGUAAACGCUGCGUGCCAGAUGUUGCGCAAUCCACGAGAUUGUGCAGUGUCGAAAUGAAGAUGUUAAGCACGCCACCUGGGAAGUACGGCCGCAAGACUGAAAUUAUCUCGACCAGAGGUCUCGAAAUCUUUGAUCAGUAAUCAGUAGACUUAAAGGAAUUGGCGGGGGCACACUACAAGGGGUGCGGCGUGCGGUUUAAUUGAAUUCAACGCCGGGAAUCUUACCGGGGGCGACGGCAGAAUGAAGGUCAGUCUAAAGGGCUUACCAGACAAGCCGAGAGGAGGUGCAUGGCCGCCGUCAGCUCGUGCUGUGAAGUGUCCUGUUAAGUCAGGCAACGAGCGAGACCUGUAUUCUUAUUUGCUAACGCGCCAGCAAUGGUGAGCGAGCACAAUAAGAAGACUGCCUUGGAAACGAGGAGGAAGGCGCAGGCUACGGUAGGUGGUAUGCCCCGAAUCUCCCGGGCUACACGCGCGCAACAAUGGUAGGUACAAUGGGAUGCAACUCUGAAAAGAGAAGCCAAUCCUCGAAAACCUAUCUUAGUCCAGAUUGAGGUUUGUAACCCAGCCUCAUGACGCCGGAAUCCCUAGUAAUCAGAGUUUAGCAUACUCCGGUGAAUAUGUCCCUGUGCCUUGCACACACCGCCCGUCAAUCCAACCGAGCAGGGUUUAGGUGAGCCGCAUUGAGUAAAUGUGCCGAACCUAAGCUCAGCAAGGUGGGAUAAGUCGUCACAAGGUAUCCGUAGGGGAACCUGCG
RNAcentral lists this ribosomal RNA (1597 nucleotides) under Candidatus Woesearchaeota archaeon. RNAcentral's name for it is "bacterial SSU rRNA". It matches the Rfam family "Archaeal small subunit ribosomal RNA". The record is from RNAcentral. Lineage: Archaea; Nanobdellati; Candidatus Woesearchaeota.